RNAcentral lists this ribosomal RNA (1003 nucleotides) under Pediococcus acidilactici. RNAcentral describes it as "bacterial SSU rRNA". The record is from RNAcentral. Lineage: Bacteria; Bacillati; Bacillota; Bacilli; Lactobacillales; Lactobacillaceae.
CAAGUCGAACGAACUUCCGUUAAUUGAUYAGGACGUGCUUGCACUGAAUGAGAUUUUAACACGAAGUGAGUGGCGGACGGGUGAGUAACACGUGGGUAACCUGCCCAGAAGCAGGGGAUAACACCUGGAAACAGAUGCUAAUACCGUAUAACAGAGAAAACCGCCUGGUUUUCUUUUAAAAGAUGGCUCUGCUAUCACUUCUGGAUGGACCCGCGGCGCAUUAGCUAGUUGGUGAGGUAACGGCUCACCAAGGCGAUGAUGCGUAGCCGACCUGAGAGGGUAAUCGGCCACAUUGGGACUGAGACACGGCCCAGACUCCUACGGGAGGCAGCAGUAGGGAAUCUUCCACAAUGGACGCAAGUCUGAUGGAGCAACGCCGCGUGAGUGAAGAAGGGUUUCGGCUCGUAAAGCUCUGUUGUUAAAGAAGAACGUGGGUGAGAGUAACUGUUCACCCAGUGACGGUAUUUAACCAGAAAGCCACGGCUAACUACGUGCCAGCAGCCGCGGUAAUACGUAGGUGGCAAGCGUUAUCCGGAUUUAUUGGGCGUAAAGCGAGCGCAGGCGGUCUUUUAAGUCUAAUGUGAAAGCCUUCGGCUCAACCGAAGAAGUGCAUUGGAAACUGGGAGACUUGAGUGCAGAAGAGGACAGUGGAACUCCAUGUGUAGCGGUGAAAUGCGUAGAUAUAUGGAAGAACACCAGUGGCGAAGGCGGCUGUCUGGUCUGUAACUGACGCUGAGGCUCGAAAGCAUGGGUAGCGAACAGGAUUAGAUACCCUGGUAGUCCAUGCCGUAAACGAUGAUUACUAAGUGUUGGAGGGUUUCCGCCCUUCAGUGCUGCAGCUAACGCAUUAAGUAAUCCGCCUGGGGAGUACGACCGCAAGGUUGAAACUCAAAAGAAUUGACGGGGGCCCGCACAAGCGGUGGAGCAUGUGGUUUAAUUCGAAGCUACGCGAAGAACCUUACCAGGUCUUGACAUCUUCUGCCAACCUAAGAGAUUAGGCGUU